This is a small nuclear RNA of Protobothrops mucrosquamatus (brown spotted pit viper), 125 nucleotides long. RefSeq annotates it as U4 spliceosomal RNA. The transcript has a single exon. The record is from RefSeq and is a predicted model, not a curated record. NCBI's taxonomy places the organism in Eukaryota, Metazoa, Chordata, Lepidosauria, Squamata, Viperidae.
AGCUUAGUGCAGUGGCAGUAUCAUAGCCAAUGAGAUUUAUCUGAGGUGUGAUUAUUGCUAAUUGAAAACUUACUCUUUUUUUAAAAAAAAAGAGCUUGUUUUAUUUUAGCUACAACUCAAAAAUU